This 447-nucleotide ribosomal RNA is filed under the name uncultured bacterium. Its description in RNAcentral is "partial 16S ribosomal RNA". It matches the Rfam family "Bacterial small subunit ribosomal RNA", at positions 29 to 523 of the family's 1533-position model. The record is from RNAcentral.
AGCGAACGCUGGCGGCAGGCCUAACACAUGCAAGUCGAGCGCCCCGCAAGGGGAGCGGCAGACGGGAGAGUAACACGUGGGAACGUACCCUUUGGUUCGGAACAACCCAGGGAAACUUGGGCUAAUACCGAAUAAGCCCUUACGGGGAAAGAUUUAUCGCCGAAGGAUCGGCCCGCGUCUGAUUAGCUAGUUGGUGAGGUAACGGCUCACCAAGGCGACGAUCAGUAGCUGGUCUGAGAGGAUGAUCAGCCUCACUGGGACUGAGACUCGGCCCAGACUCCUACGGGAGGCAGCAGUGGGGAAUAUUGGACAAUGGGCGCAAGCCUGAUCCAGCCAUACCGCGUGGGUGAUGAAGGCCCUGGGGUUGUAAAGCCCUUUCGGCGGGGAAGAUAAUGACGGUACCCGCAGAAGAAGCCCCGGCUAACUUCGUGCCAGCCGCCGCGGUAA